This 928-nucleotide small RNA is filed under the name Pongo abelii (Sumatran orangutan). Its description in RNAcentral is "retained intron". The record is from RNAcentral. Lineage: Eukaryota; Metazoa; Chordata; Mammalia; Primates; Hominidae.
GGUGAGAUUGGCACCGAGUGCCGGAGAUAGGGGCGUCUGGGGGUGGGGUCCCGGGUCUGCUCAGGAGCUGGGGCAUGGGCACUUGGAACGAGGAUUGCUCUCCCGCCCCCACUAUUGUACGGACGACAACGCGGAGGCCUGGCAUUCUCUCCCAGCCUAGAAACUGAUCCCUAGUCAGCCCUCUAGCAUCUGUUGAAUGGGAAGCUUAGACCGUGAUCGGGCCGCGACGCCCCGCUUCCAUUAGUGCGCCGAAAUAGAGGGUCACUUCGUCAGCUGAGACCUCCCUUUUCUCCAGGCCACGGGGACAGACCAGGUGGUGGGACUCGGCCUCGUCGCCGUUAGCCUGAUCAUCUUCACCUACUACACCGCCUGGGUGAUUCUCUUGCCAUUCAUCGACAGUCAGCAUGUCAUCCACAAGUAUUUCCUGCCCCGAGCCUAUGCUGUCGCCAUCCCACUGGCUGCAGGCCUCCUGCUGCUCCUGUUUGUGGGACUGUUCAUCUCCUACGUGAUGCUGAAGAGCAAGAGAGUGCCCAAGAAGGCUCAGUGAAGGUCCCGCGGGGAUGAGGCUGCCAGCCCCUUCUCUGCUUCCCCUCCAGCACAGGGACCAAGUUGGGGAGCCUGCAGAACCUGUCCAGGCACAGUGGCUCCUCAAGCCUGCCUGUCCUGCAGAGUCCCCAUGGCAUGGAGUUUACCCCUGACUGACUGGAGCCCCCUCCCCGACUCCCACUUCCAGAAGCUAGGAGGGAGGGAUACCUGGAAGACUCCGGUCACCCCCUUCUUGCUCAGGGCCUAAAAGUUGCUGGUCCUCCCAACCUCACUCUCAGACUCCCUGCCACCUUUUUCCCUGGGUUCUGCCAUCUUGCCUCACUUCCCCUCCUGUCACUUGCUGACGUUGGACUUAGCAGGUUCCAAGGCCGCAUGUGUGACC